GAGAGAGAGAGAGAGAGAGAGAGGAGAGAGAGUUGAGCUAGAAUACUCUCAAAAGCACCAAGGGGGUGGUGCUUUUGAGUUUUUAACCAUUGGAUGGAGAGAUGUAUGGUUGAGAUGAUGGUGGUAGGUGGUGGUAGGUAGUGGUAGGUGGAAUAGUGUUUGAUCCAAGGGGUAUUAGUAAUUAAGGAGUAGAUCCAAGGGCUAGAAACUUAGAAGCACCAAGGGAUUGGUGCUUCUAAAAGUAUUCUAGCUCAAUUAUAUUCUAAAAGUAUGUAUGCAUGCAUGUAUGUAUGUAUGUAUGUAUGUAUGUAUGUAUGUAUGUAUUGAGGUAAAUUUUAUCGAUUGGCAUUUAUGAAUCAACAUAAAAAAU
This 370-nucleotide long non-coding RNA is filed under the name Ananas comosus (pineapple). Its description in RNAcentral is "long non-coding RNA (ACOM_LNC020000)". Lineage: Eukaryota; Viridiplantae; Streptophyta; Magnoliopsida; Poales; Bromeliaceae. The record is from RNAcentral.